Molecule: ribosomal RNA, 1307 nt
Filed under: uncultured bacterium
Lineage: Bacteria
Description: bacterial SSU rRNA
Rfam family: Bacterial small subunit ribosomal RNA
Source: RNAcentral
AACGAACGCUGGCGGCAGGCUUAACACAUGCAAGUCGAACGCCCCGCAAGGGGAGUGGCAGACGGGUGAGUAACACGUGGGAACGUACCUUUCGGUUCGGAAUAACUUGGGGAAACUCAAGCUAAUACCGGAUACGCCCUUACCGGGAAAGGUUUACCGCCGAAAGAUCGGCCCGCGUCUGAUUAGCUAGUUGGUGAGGUAAUGGCUCACCAAGGCGACGAUCAGUAGCUGGUCUGAGAGGAUGAUCAGCCACAUUGGGACUGAGACACGGCCCAAACUCCUACGGGAGGCAGCAGUGGGGAAUAUUGGACAAUGGGCGCAAGCCUGAUCCAGCCAUGCCGCGUGAGUGAUGAAGGCCCUAGGGUUGUAAAGCUCUUUUACCUGGGAAGAUAAUGACGGUACCAGGAGAAUAAGCCCCGGCUAACUUCGUGCCAGCAGCCGCGGUAAUACGAAGGGGGCUAGCGUUGUUCGGAUUUACUGGGCGUAAAGCGCACGUAGGCGGAUCAUUAAGUCAGGGGGUGAAAUCCCGAGGCUCAACCUCGGAACUGCCUUUGAUACUGGUGAUCUUGAGUCCGGGAGAGGUGAGUGGAACUGCGAGUGUAGAGGUGAAAUUCGUAGAUAUUCGCAAGAACACCAGUGGCGAAGGCGGCUCACUGGCCCGGAACUGACGCUGAGGUGCGAAAGCGUGGGGAGCAGACAGGAUUAGAUACCCUGGUAGUCCACGCCGUAAACGAUGGAUGCUAGCCGUUGGACAGCUUGCUGUUCAGUGGCGCAGUUAACGCUUUAAGCAUCCCGCCUGGGGAGUACGGUCGCAAGAUUAAAACUCAAAGGAAUUGACGGGGGCCCGCACAAGCGGUGGAGCAUGUGGUUUAAUUCGAGGCAACGCGCAGAACCUUACCAGCUUUUGACAUGUCGCGUAUGGGUUCCAGAGAUGGAGUCCUUCAGUUCGGCUGGCGCGAACACAGGUGCUGCAUGGCUGUCGUCAGCUCGUGUCGUGAGAUGUUGGGUUAAGUCCCGCAACGAGCGCAACCCACGUCCCUAGUUGCCAUCAUUCAGUUGGGCACUCCAGGGAGACUGCCGGUGAUAAGCCGAGAGGAAGGUGUGGAUGACGUCAAGUCCUCAUGGCCCUUACGGGCUGGGCUACACACGUGCUACAAUGGCGGUGACAAUGGGACGCGAAGGGGUGACCCUUAGCAAAUCUCAAAAAGCCGUCUCAGUUCGGAUUGCACUCUGCAACUCGAGUGCAUGAAGGUGGAAUCGCUAGUAAUCGUAGAUCAGAACGCUACGGUGAAUACGUUCCCGGGCCU